UACGUAGGGUCCGAGCGUUGUCCGGAAUUACUGGGCGUAAAGGGUGCGUAGGCGGUGCUCUAAGUCGGAUGUGAAAACUCUGGGCUCAACCCAGAGCCUGCAUCCGAAACUGGAGUGCUAGAGUUCUGGAGGGGGUAGCGGAAUUCCUGGUGUAGCGGUGAAAUGCGUAGAUAUCAGGAGGAACACCGGUGGCGAAGGCGGCUACCUGGACAGAAACUGACGCUGAGGCACGAAAGCUAGGGGAGCAAACAGG
RNAcentral lists this ribosomal RNA (253 nucleotides) under uncultured bacterium. RNAcentral's name for it is "partial 16S ribosomal RNA". It matches the Rfam family "Bacterial small subunit ribosomal RNA", at positions 524 to 776 of the family's 1533-position model. The record is from RNAcentral.